RNAcentral lists this long non-coding RNA (1262 nucleotides) under Ananas comosus (pineapple). Its description in RNAcentral is "long non-coding RNA (ACOM_LNC044680)". Lineage: Eukaryota; Viridiplantae; Streptophyta; Magnoliopsida; Poales; Bromeliaceae. The record is from RNAcentral.
CCUAGUUAGUAGCUUUUCCUUAUGCAUUAGAGUACCCUCGUGUACUAGUUGAUAUUUUGGAUAGAUAUCAGAGAGCUACUUGUAUUUUGAAGAAAACAUGUACUUACAUUUUGGAAGAUGAAAAUAUAAUAUAUUCAAAUAAUGUAAAUGUUGAAUGAUUGUGAUAGUUAGACUAUCUCUCUUUAUACACUUGUAUAUCACUUGUGGUUCUUGCUCUUAGAUGUAUUGCACUUGUGUGCAUCGUAUUUGAUCAUGUAUGUUAUUUAAGCAAAUUCCUGGGUGCUUAAUUGUACAUGAUCUGGUUGCUUGGCCUUGGGCGGACAGGAGAGGUACUGUCCGUUCGGCGGUCCGUCCGAUGUGCCCGAACCGUGCCAAUUUGGUAGUGGAUUCGGGGCGGGGCGUGACAAUGGGUUAGUGGUUGAAAGGGUGAAAGAGUGGGGAAAAGGUGGAGUGCAGGUUCUGGAGGAAAAAGAAUGGGUUUUUAAUAGGUUCCCGCUAUUUUUAAGGGUAGUUUUGAUAUAUCCACUAAUAAAUUUAGAGAAGCAGACGGAACACUCACGGAACCAUGAUAGCAGGGGGCCUUGUGCACAAUUCCGUAAUUAUGAGAGGACAAAGUGUAAGUUUUCAAAUGUCAGGGGAGAAAGUGAAAAAGCGGGUUAUUACAUAAAAGUUUUGUAUAAUUUAGCCUAAUAAUAAUAAUAGUCAUAGUAAUAAAAUUAUUAGGGAUAAUUACCUACAUACCCCUCAAAACUUUGAAAAUAUCUCAUUUAUCCCUGCUUUUUUUAUUUCCAAUAUACCCCUCAUUUGCUCCUCCGUUAUUCCAAAACACCCCUACAGUUACCACCCGUUAAGUUAAUUUAGGUUAAAUGUGAGUUAAAUAUCUACGAGGGUUAAAAAAAAAAUCAAAAUGCCUCUUUUAUCCUUAACUUGAGGGCAAAUAAAAAAUAUUGGUGAUGUGGUAGAAGGGUAUAUUUGGAAGACCAAAAAUCAAAAUACUUUUUGUGCCCCUAACUUAAGGGCAAAUAAAAAAGUCGGUGAUGGUAGAAGGGUAUAUUUGAAAGGACAAAAUAAUAAUUUCAUAGAGAUAACAGCUAUUGUUAACAGUUCAUUAACAAAAUUUGACUGUAAGGGUAUAUUUGAAAUAUGUUGGAACGUAAAAAAGGUAUUUUCAAUAUUAACUUUCUAAAAAGGAUAAAUCAGAAAGUCGAAAACUUUUCAGAAGGAUUUAAGCAAUUGCCCCAAAUUAUUAUUAUUAUAUUAUA